This 992-nucleotide long non-coding RNA is filed under the name Arabidopsis lyrata. RNAcentral describes it as "long non-coding RNA (ALYR_LNC001012)". Lineage: Eukaryota; Viridiplantae; Streptophyta; Magnoliopsida; Brassicales; Brassicaceae. The record is from RNAcentral.
CUUGUUUUUUUUUUUUUUUUUUUUUUUUUUUUUUAAUUAACUAUAAUAUAUUAAUAAACCCAAAUGGGCACGACAAACAGAGUUACACGGCCCAAAAACGGCCCACAAAAAAAAGGAAAAGCAAAUCAGAGGCCCGACGGAAGUAGAGCUCGGAACCGGGUGCGAGUUACCGGAGACAACGACUAAUCGUCCAGGAAAUCCGGCGUUAACAAAGGGCACUACUUCGCUUCAUCUUCGGCUGCUCCAAAGCUUCGAUUGGAGCUAACGAUUCCAAACCAAAACUCUAGAGCCUCCGUCAGAUAUUACCCCUAACUCCCUUCCCGGACUGAACCUAGCCGAAGACAACCGGACCCACCACCUUCCUGUCCCCGACCUAGCAACAAGAAGGAUCUCGGAUCUAACCCCCCACCUCCUGCUCCGGCACACCGAACCACUAACCUAGACUGCACCUGCUUCAACCGGGAGAGACGAAAACCAGCUCGGUAACGGUUAGGUCGUCGGCUCAACACAACCACAACCGCCAGAACCCUAGCCAGCCAGCCCAGAUCUGAAAAGAACAACCGCAAAUCGCCCCAACACAUGGUGAAAAGCCUCCGAUCCGCCUGUCGACUUCCGCCGCCAUCCACAGAUCCGAAACCGACACCUCGAGCCGAAUCACUUUAAGCCAAACCACCGAGUCCUCAACAGUAGUACAACGACAAAAAGCAAUUCCAAUGUCGGAUUCGCACCCACGAAAAGCGUCUAGGGCAGAUCUACCACAUCACACCACCACCGGAGAAGCAAGGCCGACACCAACCGCUGGUCCGAGAACCCUCUUUGUCGACGAUGAAGAACAAACAACUAAGAGGCAAGAAGGGAGAGGAGCAGAGGCAAACCGGAGAAGGAAACCGGUUCCGGAGAGACUCCUCUCCCUUAGAUCUAUCAAUUGAUGGCUAGGGUUUUUUAGGAGAGAGGUGGGAGAGUUUUUGCCUCUCAAAGGCCUUGCGUUGGUC